Long non-coding RNA from Uranotaenia lowii, 1187 nucleotides. RefSeq lists it as uncharacterized. Lineage: Eukaryota; Metazoa; Arthropoda; Insecta; Diptera; Culicidae. The record is from RefSeq and is a predicted model, not a curated record. The transcript is spliced from 4 exons.
UUUGCCACACAAACACGGGAGCAGUUCCAGGAGUUCCAGCGCUAAAUAAGGUGAAUACUGGGCCGGGACAACUAGCAUCACAUCGUCAACAGCAGCAGCGAUAAUAUAAUUCUGGUGAGAAAAAAACAAUCGUUCAGUUCCUCACCCACGAGUGCGACCACAGACACCAGCGGCUACCGAUCAUAUCGCCACCACUACCAAAUCCAACUUCAGCCGGAAGCAUUACCUCUCAUCACUACCCGUUUUCCGAUGAAUAAGCUCAUAACUCCGGGUGCCGCAGUGAAAACGGACUUCCGACAUUCCAUCAAACCGUUGCCAGUGGAAACAGUCGAACGAAAUUCUGCGAAUGAGACGGCUCUAACAGGAACAACAAUCUUUGCAGGCACGGCUUCAGCGGUUAUCGUCGUCAUCGGACUCCCGGACCAAUGGGUCGGGACCGUGUGGGUCUGGUCGGGGUCCGUUUUCCGGAAAUCAGAAAAGGAAGAAUCCAUUUCCAGAAAUGACGAUGUCAGCAGACACAAAUGGAAGUUGAUCUGGUGGACAUUUUUUAACUGCUCAGUAAGAGCACUCCAAAAAAGUGCUGUCAAUCGAUGCCACAGUUGCGGCCAAGAAUCUUGAGCCAUGUUUUCACAUCAAUCUACACCAACAACUGAUCGUGAACCCAAUGCUAGAGGUUCCUACAGAACUACUACCAAGGCUCAGUAAAAAUUAGUCCUUCAUUCGAGUCUGGGUCUGCAUUCUUUUCACCAUCCGACCCGAAAAACCGUAGAAGGAUCUUGCAUGGAUUCGAGGUACAGUUAUCUGGACUGGCAAAGCCAAUGACGGUGACGAUUCUAUAAAAACGACUCCAGACUCGGAUCGGAUCGGCUCGAGUGUUUUAUUAUGAACCGUUCGAACGAAUUCUCAGCAACAGCCAAUACUCGCCCAUAAGCGAACAAAAUGCGCAAUUUCUGGCUGAAAUAUUUCGCAAACCAAACCUGCAAAAAAGGAGCUGGGAAACGUUCGGUGACCAAACGUACUGCUACCAGAAGCGGUGAUGUUUUUGAGGAUGAAUUCUGCAUAGCAAAACCUGAUCGAUCCCGUCAAGAACCUGGAACGAAUGGUCUACAACAAAGAUUCCGAAGGUUAUACUAUAUGAUCAGUGAUAUUCUUAGUUAUGAAAAAUUUAAAAAAAUAUAUAUAUAUAA